This 433-nucleotide ribosomal RNA is filed under the name uncultured bacterium. Its description in RNAcentral is "partial 16S ribosomal RNA". It matches the Rfam family "Bacterial small subunit ribosomal RNA", at positions 29 to 507 of the family's 1533-position model. The record is from RNAcentral.
AACGAACGCUGGCGGCAUGCCUAACACAUGCAAGUCGAACGAGACCUUCGGGUCUAGUGGCGCACGGGUGCGUAACGCGUGGGAACUUGCCCUUAGGUUCGGAAUAACUCCCCGAAAGGGGUGCUAAUACCGGAUAAUGUCUUCGGACCAAAGAUUUAUCGCCUUUGGAUGGGCCCGCGUUGGAUUAGCUAGUUGGUAGGGUAAAAGCCUACCAAGGCGACGAUCCAUAGCUGGUCUGAAAGGAUGAUCAGCCACACUGGGACUGAGACACGGCCCAGACUCCUACGGGAGGCAGCAGUGGGGAAUAUUGGACAAUGGGCGAAAGCCUGAUCCAGCAAUGCCGCGUGAGUGAUGAAGGCCUUAGGGUUGUAAAGCUCUUUUACCCGGGAUGAUAAUGACAGUACCGGGAGAAUAAGCUCCGGCUAACUCCGUG